AACCAAGAGGUAUCAGAACCAAGAAAAGUGUUAAAUGAAUUGCUCCACGGGUCCAGACGUUAAGAGGUACAUGGAGAUAGUUGAAAUGUAAAGAAGAAACAAAAAGGGAAUCAGGAGGCUUAAUCGCCAGCAACACUACUCUUGUACUUUGGGACUCGGCUAAGUGACUCACAGGUGAAAAGCUGUUACAGCGUGGAUCUGCUGGACAAAGGGAAGAUUCAUGUCCUGAGAGGGACGGAACCUGACGGCCCAAGAUUUCAUCACACUACUCAGAACUGCAGUUGCUGCUGUAAAUGGAUUCCAAAACCACUUUUAAUUGACCCACCCUACAUUGCCUCAGUUCAUCUCUCAUUCUGCACCAGCUGCCUGUUGUCCCAAAGUUUCAAUGCUAAUUCCACUACAGCAUGCUCCUGGAAACUUAUGAUAAGGAAUCUGGAACCAUCUGGUUUUAGUUGACUUUUUAAAAAUACGUUUUAGUGUCACAGUUGUAUUAUUAAACAUAAUUAUGCCUGGU
RNAcentral lists this long non-coding RNA (514 nucleotides) under Homo sapiens (human). Its description in RNAcentral is "HSALNT0137477". Lineage: Eukaryota; Metazoa; Chordata; Mammalia; Primates; Hominidae. The record is from RNAcentral.